GCGACAUACGGUCCAUGAGACUGGGUGAGACGGAGGGUGGAAGCGUGAUACUGAAUUAUUGGGCGCAAAGCGUGUGCAGGCUGUUUAUUACGUCGGAUGUGAAAUGCCGAGGCUCAACCUAGGAGGUGCAUUUGAAACUAAGAAACUAGAGUAUAGUAGAGGGAAGUAGAAUUCCAAGUGGAGCGGUGAAAUGCGUAGAUAUUUGGAGGAACACCAGUGGCGAAGGCGACCUUCUGGUCGAUAACUGACGCUCAAGCACGAAAGCGUGGGGAGCAAACAGGAUUAGAUACCCGAGUAGUC
This 300-nucleotide ribosomal RNA is filed under the name uncultured Helicobacter sp. RNAcentral's name for it is "bacterial SSU rRNA". It matches the Rfam family "Bacterial small subunit ribosomal RNA", at positions 496 to 795 of the family's 1533-position model. Lineage: Bacteria; Pseudomonadati; Campylobacterota; Epsilonproteobacteria; Campylobacterales; Helicobacteraceae. The record is from RNAcentral.